UCCCCAGAUAGCUCAGGUCUAAGCGCACAUUAUUAAGCGAAUGGCGCUCAGACCACACGAAUACAAUUCAAUCGCCAUGGAGCCAAAGUCUUUACAAAGUCAGUUCUCAUACGAAUGAGCUCCAUGGGAUUCCUAUCUGGGGUAUAAUACAGUCAGGUAAAACUACCGAACACCAGGCCGUUCGGGCACUCCCGCCGAACAAGAAGGGAGGUCGGCGGCUUCAGCGGUGUUCGUGCCAAACUGUGUCCGUUUUUAGUUCCAUGGGUUAGGCGUCGAACACCGCUGAGAAUCUACCGAACACCGG
Molecule: non-coding RNA, 304 nt
Organism: Pelobates cultripes (western spadefoot toad)
Lineage: Eukaryota; Metazoa; Chordata; Amphibia; Anura; Pelobatidae
Source: the annotation of a GenBank genome assembly